This is a non-coding RNA of Salmo salar (Atlantic salmon), 85 nucleotides long. Lineage: Eukaryota; Metazoa; Chordata; Actinopteri; Salmoniformes; Salmonidae. The record is from Rfam.
UGAGGUCAGCUGCUUUGACAAUGUUGCACUACUGUAUCAUUCAUUCUAGCAGUGCAAUAGUAUUGUCAUAGCAUUUGGCCUCAGC